Molecule: ribosomal RNA, 453 nt
Filed under: uncultured bacterium
Lineage: Bacteria
Description: bacterial SSU rRNA
Rfam family: Bacterial small subunit ribosomal RNA
Source: RNAcentral
UACGGGAGGCAGCAGUGGGGAAUAUUGCACAAUGGGCGCAAGCCUGAUGCAGCCAUGCCGCGUGUAUGAAGAAGGCCUUCGGGUUGUAAAGUACUUUCAGUCGUGAGGAAGGUGUUAAGGUUAAUAACCUUAGCAAUUGACGUUAGCGACAGAAGAAGCACCGGCUAACUCCGUGCCAGCAGCCGCGGUAAUACGGAGGGUGCGAGCGUUAAUCGGAAUUACUGGGCGUAAAGGGCACGCAGGCGGUUAAUUAAGUUGGAUGUGAAAUCCCCGGGCUUAACCUGGGAAUGGCAUUCAAGACUGGUUAGCUAGAGUCUUGUAGAGGGGGUAGAAUUCCAUGUGUAGCGGUGAAAUGCGUAGAGAUGUGGAGGAAUACCGGUGGCGAAGGCGGCCCCUGGCAAAGACUGACGCUCAUGUGCGAAAGCGUGGGGAGCAAACAGGGAUUAGAUAACC